AAAAAUCCAUCAUAUGUCCUCAGCCCCACAAUUCUCCUCCUUUUAUCCUUAACAACAAGAGGAAAUAGAAAGAAAACUACAAUAGAGUUCCUCCCCUUGAAAAAUUAAUAAGAAGAUCAAAACAGGAAAUAUAUAUAUAUAUACACUCCAAAUUCACAGGAUCAAAUUAGCUAUAUAAUGCCAAGAGCUAUAUAGCCAGUGAAUAGAAUCUAAA
Molecule: unclassified non-coding RNA, 214 nt
Filed under: Hevea brasiliensis (rubber tree)
Lineage: Eukaryota; Viridiplantae; Streptophyta; Magnoliopsida; Malpighiales; Euphorbiaceae
Source: RNAcentral